RNAcentral lists this ribosomal RNA (465 nucleotides) under uncultured bacterium. Its description in RNAcentral is "partial 16S ribosomal RNA". It matches the Rfam family "Bacterial small subunit ribosomal RNA", at positions 28 to 507 of the family's 1533-position model. The record is from RNAcentral.
GACGAACGCUGGCGGCGUGCUUAACACAUGCAAGUCGAACGGAAAGGCCCCUUUGGGGGUACUCGAGUGGCGAACGGGUGAGUAACACGUGCGUAACCUGCCCUUGACUUCGGGAUAACUUCAGGAAACUGGGGCUAAUACCGGAUAGGAAUCCUUGCUGCAUGGGGGGGGUUGGAAAGCUUCGGCGGUUUUGGAUGGACUCGCGGCGUAUCAGCUUGUUGGUGGGGUAGUGGCUUACCAAGGCUUUGACGGGUAGCCGGCCUGAGAGGGCGACCGGCCACAUUGGGACUGAGAUACGGCCCAGACUCCUACGGGAGGCAGCAGUGGGGAAUAUUGCACAAUGGGCGGAAGCCUGAUGCAGCAACGCCGCGUGCGGGAUGACGGCCUUCGGGUUGUAAACCGCUUUCAGCAGGGGCGAAGCUUGUGGUGACGGUACCUGCAGAAGAAGCACCGGCUAACUACGUG